UUUUAGUACCAUAUAUACACAUUUUAAGUUCAAACUAAGUAAAAUUUAAAAUUUGUGAAAAGAACUCAAAAAUCAAAAAAAAAUUACAUGAAUUUUCCAGAUUGUGGGAUCACCUGUCCCUUAUACCUAUGAUGUGGAAGGGAUAUCCAGAAUGUAUAAAGUAGGAAAAAUAGAUUGAAGCCAGGUUUUGAAGGAUUUGAAAUUUAAAAGAGAUUUUAUAUUUCAUCCUAGAGGUAAUAGGGAAGCACUAGAGUUUAUCAAGCAGCAACCAUCACUUUGGCAGCUGUGUGGAUGAUGGAUUUGAGAAGGAAGACACUUCAGGAAAUACAAUAUUCCAGCACAGAAGUGACUUGUGAAGAUUAAAUUUAACUCUCCCUGGAUCGUGAAAAUGAAAUUAAUUAACUCUCCCCUGAUUGUGAAGAUUAAAUUGUAACCCCUGCCCAUUUUUAGAUUUAAUCACCAAAAGUGUAAAAACCCUACUUAAAAGUUGAGUUGGGAGAUCUGCCCAUUUUUAGAUUUAAUCAACAAAGGUGUAAACACCCCAUUCACACUUGAAUGGGGGAGAUCUGUGACCCACGUAUGCAAUAGUGAAUGACAAAUCAGAAUUAAACUAACUAUCCCGGGGCAGUCUUAAAGCAAAGCUUCAAUU
This 649-nucleotide long non-coding RNA is filed under the name Monodelphis domestica (gray short-tailed opossum). RNAcentral describes it as "lncRNA (ENSMODG00000048034.1)". The record is from RNAcentral. Lineage: Eukaryota; Metazoa; Chordata; Mammalia; Didelphimorphia; Didelphidae.